GCUUGAAUAGUUUAAUUAAAACUCUGAUUUGUGGUGUCAGUAAUGUAGUUUUUACUUCAGGUU
This 63-nucleotide transfer RNA is filed under the name Pterotermes occidentis. RNAcentral's name for it is "tRNA-His". The record is from RNAcentral. Lineage: Eukaryota; Metazoa; Arthropoda; Insecta; Blattodea; Kalotermitidae.